AGGCAUGCGGUUUAUUGUUCGAAUUAAUUAAUGGAUUAUUAAUAAGAAAUGUAGAUAAUGUAUGCUGCAAAACUUUGAAAAUCCUGAAACACACCCUAAGGGUUAUGGAAUUUACAUCUUUCACAGCUUCUAUUAUUUCUUCACUAGUUUGCAGCUAUGCCCACACCUGGAAGGUGACAAAAGGUGGAGUUUACUUUCUCGCCCGUGUCAGCAGUCAUACUGUGGAAUCCAUGAAAAUUGGAUUUCCUUUUUCUGGUGCGUUUUACUCUUGAACUGUGUAACUGUGGAUAACUUUAAUACUGCCCAUUCUUUGUUUACAGUUAUAUAAUUUCUAUGAGCCUUAAAAGUAACCGACAUAUUUCUUUCUUAAGGUUUCAGUAUAAAACAUAAUCUGCAUCUUCAUUAUGAAACUCAUAUGCAAUUUUCUUCUAUCUCUAGAAGUUUAGAUUGAGGUUUAAAAGAACCAUUUUCAUUAUCAAGCUUCCCCAUAGUUUCCCACUUUCCUAUUCCAAAUAUUUUAAAAAAUCACACCAAAUAUCAGAGCUUUUAGCAAUAUAAAGAAAGAUUUACUUUCAAAAGUAGCAAAACUUGUUUGAAAAAAAUAUAUAUCUUUAAGUGAAUUACUUUAUAAAUGUGACUGUCAAAGUCAGCUAUCCUAUGAUCUACAUUUUACAACAUAUUGUACAAAAGAUACAUUGAUAGGCUCUUAUCUAUUUAUAUAUUUAUAAUUACAUAUUGCACUUGGACCAGCAAGGCUUGCAGAGUCAUUCACGGUAGAAGUUAAUAAAGUUAAAUAGAUGGGAAUCUUUGUAAGUACAAUUGAUCUCCUCUGGUUUGGAAACAAAUCUCCUCGUCGUUGUAAAGUGUUCUCGCGGGGUGGGACAGAGAGAGGAGCAUUGCGAGGGGGAAGCAGAGACAGAGAGCACGGAGGGCAGGGGUCGCCUUCCCGGGGCCCGCUCCCCCCGGGAGCGCGCCUUUCCCAGACUCGCACCUCCAAGGUCAGGACGCGGUGGUUCCACAUAAGCGGCUCGCGGUCACCACUUCUUUCAGGUCACUCUCGGGUUUCCCGGCCACCAUAAAGGGCCACGUCUGCGGGAAAGAAGAGGGUGGAGGAGAAUUGUGAGAAGGAACCUCGAGGACUUCUGCAGCAGAGGAACCGGCUCUCUGUUUCCCCACUCCCAGAGUCGUGGCCGUAGAGGAGUGUGAGCGAGCGCUGAGGAAUUUGGUGGACACUAGGAAUUUAUCUGGGGAAUAGAGGGGCGGAUCCUUGCAGCCCAGGGGAGGGGCCUGCCAGGCCCCAGCAAAGCGCUUAGACCCCUUUCACAACCGGAGGGAAACUCAAUGCACAGACCCUGAUUUGCAACUUGUAAUGUAAAUCAACUCAACUGCAUCAUGUACAUACCAGCCACCUUCUCCCAACUGUGGCCGGGGCCGAGGAGAAGCAUGUCCUGUCCAUCUCUAAAAGGCCUUCUUUCCCUCUUAAGACGUCACAACUGGUUGUUACCGAGAACUUUAGAAAAACGACUAGAUCGUUUGGCUCUUUCUGGGCCUUCCACCUACACUCCAUGCCCUCUCUCCUCCCAAGAAAACACGAAUUAAAAUACAGGGAGUAUCAACCGCAUCCUGCCAACACCUCAUAAGACUCCAAGGCUUUACCGAGAUCUCCUUCCACCUUCCCCGGGAUAAAUGAAGACAAGUGCUUCCUAGAAUCUUUAUGGUGAUGGAAAAGUGGAGAUUUAAAUGACCACAUCCACCCUAAGAUUUAUUGUGAGAAUGAUUGAUGUUAUAAACCAGGAAAAAGACUCUUCCCACAGCAGGGAUGACAGAAAUAUCAAGUUGAAGUUGCCUUUGUCUUCACAUACAAAUGACCCAGUACUAUAACACAGAAAGUAUAAUAAUUUAAUCUGAGGUUCAAGACAGCAGUAAGAGAACACCCAGCAGGCCUGUUAAAAAUUUCUUCACUAAUUCCCCAACUAGUUUCCUUUGAUUUGCUCUCCCUUUUCUCAGUCUUGGUAAAACAUGAAAGUUAAAGUUAUUUUUAGACUAAAGAGCUAUGUGAAAAUAGGCAUUGGCCAAUACUUUGUGAAAUGUGUGUGUGUGUGUGUGUGUGUGUGUGUGUAGCUACUAAGAUAUCUGCAAAAUAACUACAAAUAAUUAAUUUGGGCUCUGGAAUGUGAUAAUUAUUAUAAAUCCAAACUAUGGCCUUAAUACCAGGCUAUUAAGCUGUGAUUUUUCUUGUUGGAGCCAUUUUUUUUUCUUUUUGGCUCUGGCUUUCUGUUACACCUUAGUUAAUGGACUGCUCAGGCUGUCUGGGGAGAUAGUAACAAUCAUAGUAAUAUGUACCACUGAAAAGAUUUCUGUUAUCUGUAUAUUUUUCAAUGUUGGAAACUUAAAAGUACCAAUUUCUGGAAGCAUGUAAAACUAGCCUCAUGUCAUAGGCUGGUUUUUAUGCUUAGCAAUUACUUUUCUUCAUAGCCAUAUAAGAAAUAAUUAAGUCCCAUGUCCAUUUAUCUUGCAGUGAGGCAUUUAGGCUGAGAAAGGCUAGUGGGCUGAUAAUAAAUUUUGGAGUGUUUCUAAAAUUCUGUAAAAGAUGGCUUCCAGUUUGGGAGUAAGAGUUGAAGAAUGCUGUUGCUUAUGUAUCUUGAUAUGAAGUCUUGAAGAAAGAAUAUUCAUAUGAAAAAUACUUUUUUCUUUUAAAAUUUUGUGUCUAUCCCUGCUAAUAAACACUUAGGGACAAAUGGGUGGGGGAAAUGACUUCUUGUUGGAUUCUACUGAGCAAAUCAGUUAAGCUGUAACUUAAGCUGUGCCAAAUUCUCCCAAAAUAUAAACUAUAUUCUGUGAGAAGAGAAGCACUUUUGAGAAGCUGUAUUAACCCUUUUGGUACGUUGACCCUUCUGUUCCAAAGCACGAAAUAGAAAACUAGUGAUUUGAAAGUAUGAGAUCAUUUCUAAAAGUUCUUACCUGACUUUUAAGAAACAGUUAUGCCCCAGAGGCAUCUGGCCAAUUUGCUGCUCACUUCUAACAAUUUGUUUUGCAAGAGAGACUAUCUUUGAAAGAUUUUAGUGCUAAGGAAAUUUUAUCUCCGAAAGCUGUAAAAUGAAGAUUAGGCAUGGAAUGUACCCUUGAACUUAAAUCCUGGUUUAUCAGCUGAUACAUUUACAGGAAGUUCAAAUUUGAUUCAGUUGCACUUGGAUGGAAUAAUUUGCUUCCUUUUUUAUGAGAAGGAAAACAUCAUAGGCUUCCUUUGAACUGACUUCAUAUGCCAUUACAUAAUCUUUCUCAGGGGAAAAAUAUGCCUUUAAAUGUAAAUGUUAAUUCUUUUCUCUUACUCCUCAUAAUUUGGUCAGGAGACACAGGCUGGCAAAUCGGCAAAACUGCCCAUUCUCUUUUUUCUUCAUUUCUAAUUAGCACCUCCAGAUGUUUUAUUCAUUUUAUUUGAUGGUAACUACCACCACUUCAAAUAUUUGCCAACUUUCUAUGCAACUUGAUGCCUUUUUUUUUUCUUUUUUGUUGGAGUCUUGCUCUGUCACCCAAGCUGGAGUGCAUCAGCAUGAUCUAGGCUCACUGCAACCUCCGCCUCCCAAGUUUAAGAGAUUCUCAUGCCUCAGCCUCUCGAGUAGCUAGAAUUACAGGUGCCUGCCACCAUGCCUAUCUAAUUUUUGUAUUUUUAGUAGAGGUGGGAUUUCGCCAUUUUGGCCAGGCUGGUUUCAAACUCCUGAUCUACCCACCUCGGCCUCCCAAAGUGCUGGGAUUACAGGCAUGAGCCACCGUGCCCAGCCAGGUGCCUCUUUUUUGAUUUUACAUAAUUAUCUCCAUACCCUUUGUUUGCUGCUGAUUGAUUGUUGUCUAUCUCCCACUUAUAUGCCUAUCAAAAUCUGACUUUGUUUCAUUAAAUUUUAACUUUAUUUCAUAAAGUGAGCAUUACCUCUCUUUGCUCCUUCUAAAUUAUAGUGGUGCUGGCCUGUUAUAUUUUGGCAGCCAAAGUGAAUAUGGCACUAGUGAGCUUGGUGGCUAGCUAAGAAGGUCAAUAACAGUGAUGCUGGGUGUUGCUGCUACCUUUACUUGGCACCAGCUGGGAGACGGUAUAAAUCCUGGAUGGUAUAAAUCCAUUCAGUAAUCAGAAGUCUUCCGCGUGUUCACUAUACCCUAACCCCCUCUUUUCACAUUUAAUUCAGUGAAUUGUAGAUAAGAUGCCACAUUGCUAAGAUUUAAAGCUGGCAAAUAACAACAAUAAAGUUUAGGGAAAGAUUCUGCAUGGUUCUUUGAAUCCAGGAGUUAAUCUUGCAUUUCACGUGUUCCACAAUACAGCUUUGAAAGCAGCCAAGCCUAUGCACUUGAAAGUCAGGGUUUACCCUAAGGUGUAAGUGGGCCAGAGAAAACUCGGGCAGACAAAGAGAGUUAAACAUUUUGCAAAGCCAGUUUAGUGUCUUCCUAAGUUUUCUAAUACUAGAAUAAUUGUAUUAGACCCUGUCAGUGUUAGGAAAGAGAGAGAAAAGGACUGAGCGACUCCUGAGUCAGGUACCAUGCAGGGACCUUUGCCUCCAUUCUCUCAUUUCAUGUAUUUUCUCUCCUUUCUGUUGGCACUACUAAAGAAAGAGCUGCCACAUGAAAUGAAUAGUGUAUUAGAAAUGUAUGCCAGAGGCUUUCCCCUGUAAUAAAGUUUUAGAAAAACUG
Molecule: non-coding RNA, 4674 nt
Filed under: Pongo abelii (Sumatran orangutan)
Lineage: Eukaryota; Metazoa; Chordata; Mammalia; Primates; Hominidae
Source: RNAcentral